Molecule: non-coding RNA, 2244 nt
Organism: Triticum urartu
Lineage: Eukaryota; Viridiplantae; Streptophyta; Magnoliopsida; Poales; Poaceae
Source: Rfam
AAGAAAGUAAAUAAGGGCACACGGGGGAUGCCUAGGCUCUCAGAGGCGAAGAAGGACGUGAUAAGCUGCGAUAAGCUUUGGGGAUUGGCAAAUGCGACUUGAUCCAGAGAUUUCCGAAUGGGGCAACCUGACUAUUUGAAGAAUAGUCGUAUGAUACGCGAACGCGCUGAACUGAAACAUCUAAGUAGGCGUAGGAGAAGAAAAUAACAAUGAUUUCCCAAGUAGUGGCGAGCGAACGGGAAAGAGCCCAAACCGAUCAUGUUACGGCAUGGUCGGGGUUGUAGGACCACGACAUUGUACAGCGCUAUGAACUGGAAGCAGGUGGGAAACUGCGCAAUAAGGGUGAGAGCCCCGUACAGGUAAAGAAUGUUGACAUAGUGGUAUCCUGAGUACCGCGGGACCGGAGAAAUCCUGUGGGAAUCCACCAGCACCAUCUGGUAAGGCUAAAUACUCCUGAGAGACCGAUAGUGAACCAGUACCGUGAGGGAAAGGUGAAAAGAACCCCGAACAGGGGAGUGAAAAGAACCUGAAACCGUGUGCUUACAAGCGGUUGGAGCAGGCAGGUCCUGUGACAGCGUGCCUUUUGCAUAAUGAGCCUACGAGUUACUCUUGUCUGGCAAGGUUAAGUCCUUCAGGGACGCAGCCGAAGCGAAAGCGAGUCUUAAUAGGGCGCAUAGUCAGAUGAGGUAGACGCGAAACCUUGUGAUCUACCCUUGGGCAGGUUGAAGUUGCAGUAACAUGUAAUGGAGGACCGAACCGAUAAACGUUGAAAAGUUUCCGGAUGACCUGAGGGUAGGGGUGAAAGGCCAAUCAAACUGGGAAAUAGCUCGUACUCCCCGAAAUGUUUUUAGGAACAGCGUCGGCAUCGAGUUUAAUAGAGGUAGAGCUACCGAUUGGGUGCGGGGGAGUCAAAUCCUACCAAAUCCAGACGAACUCCGAAUGCUAUUAAAUAUGGCCGGCAGUGAGGCUUUGGGUGCUAAGGUCCAAGGCCGAGAGGGAAAGAACCCAGACCAUCAGCUAAGGUCCCUAAAUAUACGCUAAGUUGAACUAACGAGGUCCGGUUGCCCAGACAGCUAGGAUGUUGGCUUGGAAGCAGCCAUUCAUUUAAAGAGUGCGUAACAGCUCACUAGUCGAGCGGCCGGGCGUGGAUAAUAAACGGGCAUCAAGAACGGUACCGAAGCUAUGGAUUUGCACUUAUGUGCAUCUGGUAGGGGAGCAUUCCAUAUGGGGCGAAGAUAUCUGGUAAUGGGUGUUGGACCGUAUGGAAAAGCAAAUGUAGGCAUAAGUAACGAUAAGGCGGGUGGGAAACCCGCCCACCGAAAGACCAAGGUUUCCUGAUCAACGCUAAUCGGAUCAGGGUUAGUCGGGGCCUAAGGCGCAUCCGAAAGGAGCAAGCCGAUGGACAACGGGUUAAUAUUCCCGUACUUUUUAUAACUGCGAUGUGGUGACGGAGUAGUGACACUGCCGCGAACUGACGGAAUAGUUCGUUGAAAGGCGUAGGUAUAGGGACGGUAGGCAAAUCCGCCGACCCUGCUGAAACCCAAUAGUACAGCAAAGCUUCGGUGGCGCUGAUAGAGCAGGUAAACAGACUUCCAAGAAAACCCGCUAAGCUUCAGGUUAUGAAGACCCGUACCGCAAACCGACACAGGUGGUCGAGGAGAGAAUCCUAAGGUGCUCGAGUGAGUCAUGGCUAAGGAACUCGGCAAAAUGGCCCUGUAACUUCGGGAGAAGGGGCGCUGUCUCAGCGAUGAGCAGCCGCAGUGAAAAGGCCCAGGCGACUGUUUAGCAAAAACAUAUGGCUUUGCGAAAUCGAAAGAUGAAGUAUAAGGCCUGACACCUGCCCGGUGCUGGAAGGUUAAGAGGGGAUGUCAUCGCAAGAGAAGCAUUGAAUCGAAGCCCCAGUAAACGGCGGCCGUAACUAUAACGGUCCUAAGGUAGCGAAAUUCCUUGUCGGGUAAGUUCCGACCUGCACGAAUGGUGUAACGAUCUGGGCGCUGUCUCAGCCAUGAGCUCGGUGAAAUUGUGGUAUCGGUGAAGACGCCGGUUACCCGCAACGGGACGGAAAGACCCCAUGCACCUUCACUAUAGCUUAACAUUGAAAUUGGGUACAGGAUGUGUAGGAUAGGCGGGAGAUAUUGAAGCGGCUUCGCCAGGAGUCGUGGAAUCAACCUUGAAAUACCGCCCUUUCUGUAUCCGGUUUCUAAUCCCGUUAUUCGGGAGACAUUGUUUGGUGGGUAGUUUGAC